UUUCACCUCACACAACCAAUGGUUUUUAAAAGCUGUAAUGGCGCCAAGUGGUUAUUGUGGUAUUGAGUGUACUCCCACUUGUUAAACGAGAGGGUCACUUGAAAUGCUUGGUAACUUACAUGAGUCCAAGAAUGCUUCAUAUGUCUUGAAAAGCUCAAAGUACCGCUAAGUUUAAGCCUUUACUGGUCACUCUUUAGCUGGGAAAUUUUCGAGAUGAAGUACUCGACAGACUUACUACCAAACUUGAUAUCGAUUAGCAGUCGUAGUACUGUCUGACCGAAAUAUCUGAAC
Molecule: unclassified non-coding RNA, 291 nt
Filed under: uncultured Chytridiomycota
Lineage: Eukaryota; Fungi; Chytridiomycota
Description: sequence contains ITS2
Source: RNAcentral